GAUGAACGCUGGCGGCGUGCCUAAUACAUGCAAGUCGAGCGAACAGACGAGGAGCUUGCUCCUCUGACGUUAGCGGCGGACGGGUGAGUAACACGUGGAUAACCUACCUAUAAGACUGGGAUAACUUCGGGAAACCGGAGCUAAUACCGGAUAAUAUAUUGAACCGCAUGGUUCAAUAGUGAAAGACGGUUUUGCUGUCACUUAUAGAUGGAUCCGCGCCGCAUUAGCUAGUUGGUAAGGUAACGGCUUACCAAGGCAACGAUGCGUAGCCGACCUGAGAGGGUGAUCGGCCACACUGGAACUGAGACACGGUCCAGACUCCUACGGGAGGCAGCAGUAGGGAAUAUUCCACAAUGGGCGAAAGCCUGACCCAGCCAUACCGCGUGAGUGAAGAAGGUCUUCGGAUCGUAAAGCUCUGUUGUUAGGAAAGAAAAGAAGUAGAUGUAACUACCGAUGUUCUGACGGUACCUAAAGAAAAAGCACCGGCUAACUUCGUG
This 497-nucleotide ribosomal RNA is filed under the name uncultured bacterium. Its description in RNAcentral is "partial 16S ribosomal RNA". It matches the Rfam family "Bacterial small subunit ribosomal RNA", at positions 28 to 507 of the family's 1533-position model. The record is from RNAcentral.